UCCCGUGUGGCUCAGUUGGUAGCGCAUGGUGUUUGCAAUGCCAGGGUUGGGGUUCGAUCCCCACGGGGGAC
Molecule: transfer RNA, 71 nt
Filed under: Salmo salar (Atlantic salmon)
Lineage: Eukaryota; Metazoa; Chordata; Actinopteri; Salmoniformes; Salmonidae
Rfam family: tRNA
About the family: Transfer RNA (tRNA) molecules are approximately 80 nucleotides in length. Their secondary structure includes four short double-helical elements and three loops (D, anti-codon, and T loops).
Source: Rfam by way of RNAcentral